GAUGAAGAACGCAGUGAAAUGCGAUAAGUAAUGUGAAUUGCAGAAUUCAGUGAAUCAUCGAAUCUUUGAACGCACAUUGCGCCCGCCAGUAUUCUGGCGGGCAUGCCUGUCCGAGCGUCAUUUCAACCCUCGAACCCCUCCGGGGGGUCGGCGUUGGGGAUCGGCCCCUCACCGGGCCGCCCCCGAAAUCCAGUGGCGGUCUCGCCGCAGCCUCUCCUGCGCAGUAGUUUGCACACUCGCACCGGGAGCGCGGCGCGGCCACAGCCGUAAAACACCCCAAACUCUGAAAUGUUGACCUCGGAUCAGGUAGGAAUACCCGCUGAACUUAAGCAUAUCAAUAAGCGGAGGA
RNAcentral lists this unclassified non-coding RNA (349 nucleotides) under soil metagenome. RNAcentral's name for it is "partial contains 5.8S ribosomal RNA, internal transcribed spacer 2, and large subunit ribosomal RNA". The stretch from base 1 to 120 matches the Rfam family "5.8S ribosomal RNA", at positions 35 to 154 of the family's 154-position model. The record is from RNAcentral.